This 256-nucleotide ribosomal RNA is filed under the name uncultured Scutellospora. RNAcentral describes it as "partial 18S ribosomal RNA". It matches the Rfam family "Eukaryotic small subunit ribosomal RNA", at positions 624 to 886 of the family's 1831-position model. Lineage: Eukaryota; Fungi; Glomeromycota; Glomeromycetes; Diversisporales; Gigasporaceae. The record is from RNAcentral.
AAGCUCUAGUUGAAUUUCGGGGUUCUACCGUUGGUCGGGCUAACCAGUCUGUACUAGCGUGUAGAAUUCCUACCUUCUGGGGAACCAUUAUGUUAUUAAUUUAGCGUGGUGGGAAACCAGGACUUUUACCUUGAAAAAAUUAGAGUGUUCAAAGCAGGCUUACGUCUGAAUACAUUAGCAUGGAAUAAUAAAAUAGGACGGUGGUCCUGUUUUGUUGGUUUCUGAAUCACCGUAAUGAUUAAUAGGGAUAGUUGGG